This 263-nucleotide ribosomal RNA is filed under the name uncultured bacterium. Its description in RNAcentral is "partial 16S ribosomal RNA". It matches the Rfam family "Bacterial small subunit ribosomal RNA", at positions 92 to 354 of the family's 1533-position model. The record is from RNAcentral.
CGACCGGCGCACGGGUGAGUAACGCGUAUCCAACCUGCCUUUACUAUGGGACAGCCCGUCGAAAGGCGGAUUAAUACCGUAUGUUGUCAUGUUGAUGCAUAUUUUCAUGACCAAAGGCUUCGGCCGGUAAAGGAUGGGGAUGCGUCUGAUUAGCUUGCCGGCGGGGUAACGGCCCACCGGGGCGACGAUCAGUAGGGGUUCUGAGAGGAAGGUCCCCCACACUGGUACUGAGACACGGACCAGACUCCUACGGGAGGCAGCAG